This 223-nucleotide unclassified non-coding RNA is filed under the name uncultured Myxococcales bacterium. RNAcentral describes it as "contains 16S-23S intergenic spacer region". The record is from RNAcentral. Lineage: Bacteria; Pseudomonadati; Myxococcota; Myxococcia; Myxococcales.
UCCGGCUUAACGCCGGCAGUCUCCCUAGAGUGCCCAACUGAAUGGUGGCAACUAAGGACGAGGGUUGCGCUCGUUGCGGGACUUAACCCAACACCUCACGGCACGAGCUGACGACAGCCAUGCAGCACCUGAACCGGCAGUCCCCGAAGGGAAAAUCCUAUUUCUAGGACGGUCCGCCGUUGUCUAGCCCAGGUAAGGUGGGGAUGACGUAAGCCUAUCGAGA